This 535-nucleotide ribosomal RNA is filed under the name Enterococcus faecium. Its description in RNAcentral is "bacterial SSU rRNA". It matches the Rfam family "Bacterial small subunit ribosomal RNA", at positions 93 to 614 of the family's 1533-position model. The record is from RNAcentral. Lineage: Bacteria; Bacillati; Bacillota; Bacilli; Lactobacillales; Enterococcaceae.
GAGUGGCGAACGGGUGAGUAACACGUGGGUAACCUGCCCAUCAGAAGGGGAUAACACUUGGAAACAGGUGCUAAUACCGUAUAACAAUCAAAACCGCAUGGUUUUGAUUUGAAAGGCGCUUUCGGGUGUCGCUGAUGGAUGGACCCGCGGUGCAUUAGCUAGUUGGUGAGGUAACGGCUCACCAAGGCCACGAUGCAUAGCCGACCUGAGAGGGUGAUCGGCCACAUUGGGACUGAGACACGGCCCAAACUCCUACGGGAGGCAGCAGUAGGGAAUCUUCGGCAAUGGACGAAAGUCUGACCGAGCAACGCCGCGUGAGUGAAGAAGGUUUUCGGAUCGUAAAACUCUGUUGUUAGAGAAGAACAAGGAUGAGAGUAACUGUUCAUCCCUUGACGGUAUCUAACCAGAAAGCCACGGCUAACUACGUGCCAGCAGCCGCGGUAAUACGUAGGUGGCAAGCGUUGUCCGGAUUUAUUGGGCGUAAAGCGAGCGCAGGCGGUUUCUUAAGUCUGAUGUGAAAGCCCCCGGCUCAACC